This is a long non-coding RNA of Pungitius pungitius (ninespine stickleback), 942 nucleotides long. RefSeq lists it as uncharacterized. The record is from RefSeq and is a predicted model, not a curated record. NCBI's taxonomy places the organism in Eukaryota, Metazoa, Chordata, Actinopteri, Perciformes, Gasterosteidae. The transcript has 4 exons.
UGUCGUGUUUUACUUCUUAUUACAGAUUGUAGUACAAGUGCAUUAUACUUAAAAGUAUAUGUGAAUGUUGUGUUUUACGUCUUAUUGCAUAUUGUAGUACACAUGCAUUAUACUUAAAAGUAUAUAUUCAUUAAGGUUUUCUCCACAAAAUGGCUUCCCUGAGGUUAACCGUCUAAAGAACCAAUGAGGUCUAGUGAUUUAUAUUUGUUUCAUUUUCAUCAUCUUAACGUAUUUAACUUGUAUUUACAUGUAUGUAUACUAUAUCUUUUAGAAAGCAGCUACAGGAGGAAUUUUGUUUCAUUUUCAUCAUCUUAACGUAUUUAACUUGUAUGUAUAUUUCUUUUAGAAAGCAGCCACAGGAGGAAUCCUAAAGCCUCUACAAAAAGAGGGGAAACAGACAGCCAGAUCGUGCUAACAAGUCUUCAGGAAAUACAAAAACAGGUUGAAGCACUGAGUGGUUUACCAGUAGCCGAGCAUAGUGAGGAGCCUGUGAAUGGGUGUUCUCCAAGAGGCCCAAACUGGGUUAAACCAACAUUAAAAACGUGGGCGAAGGCUUCUACAUCCAGGGAGACCUCGGGAGGUCGUCGGGGUCCAUCAGGGGCGACCCCAUUGUAUGAUCCCCCAAUAAAAAGGCAGGCUUUGGGCUCCAGCAGGCAGGACAUCACUGCUAAAGGCCCAAUCUGGGUUAAACCGACAAUAAAAACGUGGGCGAAAGCAUCUACAUCCAGGGAGCCGUGGGGAGGUCCACCCCAAAAGUGCAGACAACCUUCGGAGACGCUGGCUGCACCGGGUGAUGUGACGGACCUAUUUACCCCGAGAUACAACGAGUGGAUAACCGACGAGGAAAUAAUACGCUGUGUUGAGGCUCUCGAAGCGGAUGUUGACGAACGGCAAGAUCAGGAGGCUGUAGGUGAGCAGAGAGAUGCUGAUGGUGCAGCACUG